UCCGGUUUAUCACCGGCAGUCUCUCUAGAAUCCCCAACUUUACUUGCUGGCAACUAGAGAUGAGGGUUGCGCUCGUUACGGGACUUAACCCAACAUCUCACGACACGAGCUGACGACAGCCAUGCAGCACCUGUCACUCGAUUCCCGAAGGCACACUUCCAUUUCUGGAAGCUUUCGAGGAUGUCAAGGGUAGGUAAGGUUUUUCGCGUUGCAUCGAAUUAAACCACAUGCUCCACCGCUUGUGCGGGCCCCCGUCAAUUCCUUUAAGUUUUAACCUUGCGGCCGUACUCCCCAGGCGGAAAACUUAUCGCGUUAGCUACGCCACUAAAAGUUAAAACUUCUAACGGCUAGUUUUCAUCGUUUACGGCGUGGACUAC
This 377-nucleotide unclassified non-coding RNA is filed under the name uncultured Gammaproteobacteria bacterium. Its description in RNAcentral is "contains 16S-23S intergenic spacer region". Lineage: Bacteria; Pseudomonadati; Pseudomonadota; Gammaproteobacteria. The record is from RNAcentral.